UGCCAGACUCCUACGGGAGGCAGCAGUGAGGAAUAUUGGUCAAUGGGCUUACGCCUGAACCAGCCAAGUCGCGUGAGGGAAGACUGCCCUAUGGGUUGUAAACCUCUUUUGUCAGGGAGCAACGCCGGCUACGUGUAGCCGGACUGAGAGUACCCGAAGAAAAAGCAUCGGCUAACUCCGUGCCAGCAGCCGCGGUAAUACGGAGGAUGCGAGCGUUAUCCGGAUUUAUUGGGUUUAAAGGGUGCGUAGGCGGGUUAUCAAGUCAGCGGUAAAAUCGUGGAGCUCAACUCCAGCCAGCCGUUGAAACUGAUGAUCUUGAGUGGGCGAGAAGUAUGCGGAAUGCGUGGUGUAGCGGUGAAAUGCAUAGAUAUCACGCAGAACUCCGAUUGCGAAGGCAGCAUACCGGCGCCCGACUGACGCUGAA
This 424-nucleotide ribosomal RNA is filed under the name uncultured bacterium. Its description in RNAcentral is "bacterial SSU rRNA". It matches the Rfam family "Bacterial small subunit ribosomal RNA", at positions 329 to 750 of the family's 1533-position model. The record is from RNAcentral.